UGAUAGUGACGCCUGCAGAUGAUCCAAACACCUGAGCCCAGGCACCAGACUCGCGAAUGCAGGAGCCUAGACCAUCUGACUAGGGCGACAAGCCCCAGCCACCAUCGGGCUAUGAGGACCACUGGGGUCGCUCUAGUUGACUCCCAGAACUGAGAGGUUGCACAAGGCAUGGUUUUAAGUCCCGAAGCCGGGGGCCGGUUAGUCACACAGGGAUGGAUGGGUGGAACCAUGAACGAGCCUGGAUGCCUUCCGGGAUGCUGACACUCCACAACGGAACAUGGCUUAGUCUUAUUUUCAGUUUUUGUCACAACAUGUAUCAUGGCCUGAGCUUGCAGGAACGGAAGAUCCAGACCAGCCUGAGAUGAGCAAAAAGGAGCUGAGAUCACGCCCCUCGAGGGUCAUGAGCUUCCUGUGUCCACGACUCCAGCAGCAGCCCAUUCCACUGUGGUCUCAAGACCAGGAAGACCAGAAGCUUCCCUCUGUGAGCUCAUCACUCACCAGGCAACACACCCACCUCACCCAUCAGGCCCUCCCAAUAAACCCAGGAAGUUCUAACUUCCCCCUUUUACAGAUGAAGAAACAGGGGCACAAGCCACAUAGCUGGUACUCUGGCCUGACUCCAAAAAGCCAUCCCCCACGCCACCUGGCAUGAGAUGGCUUUCUGGUUCCCAUGCAGGGAGCAUUGGACUCAACGCCAGAGGGUCAACAUGUGCGGGGUCCCGGGCAGUGAGAAUGUCUUCCAUUCUAGACGAGGGAGGGCCAGAGAAUCCACAAGUAACAACAGAACACAAGGAAAGGACAGAUCAAACCAUGGGAAGCACAACAUGGACGAUAACAGGGUUAUCACCUCAUCCGAUCAUGAUGGUCUUACUGAUUAUAGCUCAGGGGCUUCACAAGAUGGACGGUGGGGAAGGAUCGAGGACCUACUUCUAGAUGCUUCCAUCCCAACCAAGAGAUAACUUGGGAACGAAGAACAGUACAAAA
Molecule: long non-coding RNA, 984 nt
Organism: Odocoileus virginianus texanus
Lineage: Eukaryota; Metazoa; Chordata; Mammalia; Artiodactyla; Cervidae
Source: RefSeq, a predicted model, not a curated record